This 440-nucleotide ribosomal RNA is filed under the name uncultured bacterium. Its description in RNAcentral is "bacterial SSU rRNA". It matches the Rfam family "Bacterial small subunit ribosomal RNA", at positions 360 to 772 of the family's 1533-position model. The record is from RNAcentral.
AAUUGUUCACAAUGGGCGCAAGCCUGAUGACGCAACGCCGCGUGGGGGAUGAAGGUCUUCGGAUUGUAAACCCCUGUCGAAUGGGACGAAAGACCCGGGAGCUAAUCAUCCCGGGAGUGACGGUACCGUUAAAGGAAGCCACGGCUAGCUCUGUGCCAGCAGCCGCGGUAAUACAGGGGUGGCAAGCGUUGUUCGGAAUUACUGGGCGUAAAGGGCGCGUAGGUGGCCGAGCAAGGUCGCGGUGAAAGCCCGGGGCUCAACCCCGGGUCGGCCGUGGCAACUACUUGGCUUGAGCACUGUAGGGGCGGGUGGAAUUCCGGGUGUAGCGGUGGAAUGCGUAGAGAUCCGGAAGAACACCGGUGGCGAAGGCGGCCCGCUGGGCAGGAAGACGGGCGCAAGUCCGUCGGCUGACACUGAGGCGCGACAGCGUGGGGAGCAAA